Molecule: RNA transcript, 721 nt
Organism: Prosopis cineraria
Lineage: Eukaryota; Viridiplantae; Streptophyta; Magnoliopsida; Fabales; Fabaceae
Exons: 3
Source: RefSeq, a predicted model, not a curated record
UGAGUUUUUGGCAAACAGUCCAGAUCAUCGUGUGGUUGCAAUUGGUAUAAUGUAUAAUGUCCUUGGGGGCACUAUACAUAAUGUGCCAAUUCCUCUAAGCCACGUAUGAGUUUGUCUAAAAGUUUCUUUGGAUGAAAACUAUCAGCUACCCAUUCCACGGAGGAUGUGAUGACAGUAGGAGACGCAUUGGGCACCUUUGUUGCAUCGCCUACCGCCCUUAUAAGGCCGAUAUCUAACAAAGAUAAGUCCAAAGAAAAAGACUUCCCCAGCAAACAAUCAACUAGCCAUGAGUCAAAGAUUAUCGCACUUCCCCUACUUCAAAAGAUGGAGCCUUAAUUGUCACAUAAAUUCCUGACUUCACGAGGGGCAUAUGCAGACAUGAAAAGGAGUAUUCAUGAUUUUAUUGAUGUAGACAACCCAUUCGAGCAUGGCAUAUAUGACAGAGAUCAUACCAAUCGCAUAACGCUUGAAGUCGUAGAUGAAGUACUCCACCAUGGCAUGAUUAGCACAAUUGUCAUGGAUUUUUAUUUGAGGUUUCUUUAUCAUAUACUCAUCGUGCCCUGUAACCUUACAAGGAUGUUUGUCUUCAUUUGUCCUUGUGACAUUGCUACUUUCUAUGACAUUCGAGACUCUGAUCAUGAAGAUCAAGCAAAGCAGCUGUGCAAUUCAUUCAAAGCCAGGACUACUAAAAAAGGGGGAAGGUUAUUCUUGAUACCUUAUG